Molecule: long non-coding RNA, 414 nt
Filed under: Salvia miltiorrhiza (redroot sage)
Lineage: Eukaryota; Viridiplantae; Streptophyta; Magnoliopsida; Lamiales; Lamiaceae
Description: long non-coding RNA (SMIL_LNC008154)
Source: RNAcentral
UCCAUCCUCUCCAUUCUUCACACCUCCUCCUCAUUCUUCCAACAUGUGCCUUGUCCCAAAUUUCCCUCUCUCUCCUGAGACCCACAGCAUCACCAUCAUCUUUCAUUUUUUCUCAGGCUGCCAUGGAUUCAAAUUGUCAUUUCUUGGUCAAGAAAUCGUACAGAUUGAACCAUAAAUUCACAACUCCCAUUCAUUCUAAACAUGUAGUAAAGAGAGUCACAUUUCUAUACCUACAAUGGGGUUGCAAAACCUAUUCAUAGUUUUUCGUAGAUACUUACCAGCAGGUUGUUUCUGCUCUGUAGGCUUCACCUGAACAGCAGCUGGAACGGGAUGCGCGUAAGGAAAACCAGCUGGCAGCAGGGUUCCGGCAGCCUGCGCAGCGAAAGGUGGUGCAUGGAUUAUACUCUGUGAAGG